ACGUAGGGGGCGAGCGUUAUCCGGAAUUAUUGGGCGUAAAGAGUGCGUAGGUGGUCUUGUAAGCGGGGGGUGAAAGGCAUCGGCUUAACCGAUGUUAGCCCCCCGAACUGUGAGACUUGAGUACAGGAGAGGAAAGCGGAAUUCCUAGUGUAGCGGUGAAAUGCGUAGAUAUUAGGAGGAACACCAGUGGCGAAGGCGGCUUUCUGGACUGAAACUGACACUGAGGCACGAAAGCGUGGGGAGCAAACAG
RNAcentral lists this ribosomal RNA (250 nucleotides) under uncultured prokaryote. Its description in RNAcentral is "partial 16S rRNA". It matches the Rfam family "Bacterial small subunit ribosomal RNA", at positions 525 to 775 of the family's 1533-position model. The record is from RNAcentral.